This 314-nucleotide unclassified non-coding RNA is filed under the name soil metagenome. RNAcentral describes it as "partial contains 5.8S ribosomal RNA, internal transcribed spacer 2, and large subunit ribosomal RNA". The stretch from base 1 to 120 matches the Rfam family "5.8S ribosomal RNA", at positions 35 to 154 of the family's 154-position model. The record is from RNAcentral.
GAUGAAGAACGUAGCGAAAUGCGAUACGUAAUGUGAAUUGCAGAAUUCAGCGAAUCAUCGAAUCUUUGAACGCACAUUGCGCCUCCGGGUAUUCCUGGAGGCAUGCCUGUUCGAGCGUCGUUUAGACCAUGAGGCUUUGCCUUGCGAUGACAUUCGGGUGCGAGCCCGUCUGUCCAAACGAGUUGGCAUCUGAAGUUGGCCUGUCACAGCAGAAUGUGAGAAAACCAGCGGAGGAUCGCAUACAAAAUUCACAAGGUCGACCUCGGAUCAGGCAAGAUUACCCGCUGAACUUAAGCAUAUCAAUAAGCGGAGGA